CCCUUAGCCAAGAGAUUGGUAGCUAGAAAGAUAAGGUUGACUUGGAGUCAACUUCUAGCUUAGAGUUUUGACUAAAUUGAUCGGUUUCUUCAUUUGUAGUAAAUGAUUUUAGAUCAAUUUUUUCUCAGAAUCUGUACCCUUGGCGUUCUUGUAUUGGUUCAUCGUAGGUGAUUGACGACGAGUAGUUGUUAUGGCUGAAGCAUUUGUGUCGUUUGGAGUUGAGAAGCUUUGGGAUCUCCUGAGUCGAGAAUCUGAGCGAUUGCAGGGAAUUGAUGAGCAAGUUGAAGGACUAAAGCGUCAGCUGAGAAGUUUAGAGUCGUUGUUGAAAGAUGCAGAUGCCAAGAAACAUGGAAGUGAAAGGGUGAGGAACUUCUUGGAAGAUGUCAAAGACCUUGUUUAUGAUGCUGAGGAUAUACUUGAAUCCUAUGUUCUGAACAAAAGUAGAGCUAAAGAAAAAGGAAUCAAGAAGCAUGUGAGAAGACUUGCUUGCUUCUUAACGCAAAGUUGCUUCAGAUAUCGAAGGAAUCACUAAGAGGAUCUCUGAGGUGAUUGGGGAUAUGCAGAGUUUAGGGAUACAACAAAUCAUUGAUGGUGGUCGUUCGCUGUCUCUUCAGGACAGACAAAGGGAGCAGAGGGAGAUCCGACAAACGUUCGCUAAAAGUCCUGACCACGAUCUUGUUGGGGUGGAGCAGAGUGUUGAAGAAUUGGUUGGUCAUUUGGUGGAGAAUGAUAAACAUCAAGUGGUUUCUAUAUCUGGGAUGGGCGGUAUUGGUAAAACGACUUUGGCCAGACAAGUUUUUCAUCACGACAUAGUCCGACGUCAUUUUGAUGGAUUCGCAUGGGUCUGUGUUUCGCAACAAGUUUACGCAGAAAGAUGUUUGGCAG
Arabidopsis lyrata subsp. lyrata is the source of this 885-nucleotide RNA transcript. It is a transcript of the gene named disease resistance protein RPP8, with no coding region annotated. NCBI's taxonomy places the organism in Eukaryota, Viridiplantae, Streptophyta, Magnoliopsida, Brassicales, Brassicaceae. The transcript has a single exon. The record is from RefSeq and is a predicted model, not a curated record.